Molecule: ribosomal RNA, 355 nt
Filed under: uncultured bacterium
Lineage: Bacteria
Description: bacterial SSU rRNA
Rfam family: Bacterial small subunit ribosomal RNA
Source: RNAcentral
CUAGCGACUUCAGAGUUUGAUCCUGGCUCAGGAUGAACGCUGGCGGCGUGCUUAACACAUGCAAGUCGAACGAAGCACUUUAGUUGAUUUCUUCGGAUUGAUUCUAAAGUGACUUAGUGGCGGACGGGUGAGUAACGCGUGGGUAACCUGCCUCGUACAGGGGGAUAACAGUUAGAAAUGACUGCUAAUACCGCAUAACCCGCUAAGGUCGCAUGACCUAGACGGAAAAGAUUUAUCGGUACGAGAUGGACCCGCGUCUGAUUAGCUAGUUGGUGAGGUAACGGCCCACCAAGGCGACGAUCAGUAGCCGGCCUGAGAGGGUGACCGGCCACAUUGGGACUGAGACACGGCCCAA